GAGUCUGAGAAUGGAUAUGCACGAGAGAAAAGAAAGAGCGAAAGCUCUCUAAGGAGAUUCACAAGCGGAGGUGACAGCGAAGCUCGUUCCAAUGGUUGUCAGACGGAAACCCAAGAAAAGAUUAAAGAGAAAGAGAAGAAAAGCUUGUACUUGGAGUGACAGAGCAAGCUCAAGUUGAACCUCCACUUCACCCAUUGAUGGUCGCUCAUUUGGAUCAAAGUUCAAGCAUCUUUCUGUGAUGUUUAUAAAUACUUCCCAACUCUCUGGUGCAAUCUUUCCUUUAAUAUUUGGAUCAAUAUUCUCCUCAACAGGGUUUUUCUGCCUCUUCUCAACACUGUUUAGCUUGUCUUUGCAUACCACUUCUAGUAUAACUACACCAAAGGAGUAAACAUCGCAUUUUUCUGUUAAUGUAUUGUUUUCUGAAA
Long non-coding RNA from Vigna angularis (adzuki bean), 425 nucleotides. RefSeq lists it as uncharacterized. The record is from RefSeq and is a predicted model, not a curated record. Lineage: Eukaryota; Viridiplantae; Streptophyta; Magnoliopsida; Fabales; Fabaceae. The transcript is spliced from 2 exons.